Molecule: ribosomal RNA, 162 nt
Filed under: uncultured bacterium
Lineage: Bacteria
Description: partial 16S rRNA
Rfam family: Bacterial small subunit ribosomal RNA
Source: RNAcentral
GGAAUCUUCGGCAAUGGGGGCAACCCUGACCGAGCAACGCCGCGUGAGUGAAGAAGGUUUUCGGAUCGUAAAGCUCUGUUGUAAGAGAAGAACAUGUGUGAGAGUGGAAAGUUCACACAGUGACGGUAAUUUACCAGAAAGGGACGGCUAACUACGUGCCAG